Molecule: long non-coding RNA, 1036 nt
Organism: Bos indicus x Bos taurus (hybrid cattle)
Lineage: Eukaryota; Metazoa; Chordata; Mammalia; Artiodactyla; Bovidae
Source: Ensembl
GGGGAAGGACUCCCUCACGGGACCAGGUGGGCAUGUCCAGGUGCCUGAGGAGGCUCGGAUCGCCCUGUGUUUCUAGCGGCCCGGGGGCCUGGGGACGCCUUGCGGUGUCUUCCUGCAGGCAGGGCGCCAGCCAGGAGGACUGUGGUGCUGGCCCCAAAACUGCUCGAGGCUGGGCGGGUCUGGGCCAGCCAGGUCCUGGUCCUGCCCCCUCUGCCACGGGCACUGCCCUCUACACCCAGUGAGGAAUCUUCCGAACAGAACAGCAACAUGACCUGCUGACUGUCCAUCUGAUGAAGGGCCCCACCACUCCACAAAACAGUGAGCACCACCUGUCCAUCUGAUGAAGGCCCGUCAUGCAGACUGAGACUCUCCAGUGCCGAGGCUGCGGCCCUCAGCCCAUCACAGUGGCAGGAGAGGGCCAGGGUCACACCGCUGGGCUCACCCCAUGUGAGGCCUGUGGCACGUCCACUGGGAGUGGGCACUCGGACCGUGGUGCAUAUGUGUUGAUCCUGGUGAGACGUGUGAACAAAAAGGCAUGUACUACAAUCUGCUCAUCAAAGGAAAGAAUAAUUAAAGUAGGAACAGGUUAGUGUCCCCUGCAAGGAAGACAACCUUCCAAUUAAGGAAUCUCUACAGAUUAAGUUUAGUUCCAAAUCCCAAACAUUGGCUUAGUGGCACUUCAUUACUUCUUGAGUUGCUAGAAAAAGUGUUAGUUUUAUUAUUGAAAGACUAUUCAGCUUUGAAAAGGACCCACAAACAAGUAGGAUUAACUAACCAAUUAACUAAAAAUGCUUUGCAUUGUUCUUUAUUAUUGUAAAAUAUAUCAAAAUGUAGAUGACAUUAUUAAUGUCAAUUAUUAUCUCUUUUUAAGGUUUUACAUGGAUUAUGGUUUCUUUUAUUUUUUAAACUUUUUAUUGGGAUAUAAUCGCUUUACAAUGUUGUGUUAGUCUCUGCUGUACAACGAUGUGAAUCGGCCAUAUGUAUACAUACGUUCUCUCCCUCCUCCUGCCCCUCCCCCCCUCCUCCCACAGCCCCC